GCCAGAUGCGGUGGUGCAUGCCUAUAGUCCCAGCUAUCCAGGAGGCUGAGGUGGGAGCACUGCUUAGCCCAGGAGUUCUUGGCUGUAAUAUGCAUGCCAGUCAGGUGUCUGCACUAUGUUUGGCAUCAGUAUAGUGACCUCCUGGGAGCGUGGGACCACCAGGUUGCCUAAGGAGGGGUGAAUUAUCCCAGGCUGGAAAUGAAGCAGGUAAAAACUCCUGUGCUAGUUAGCAGUGGGAUUGUGCCUGUGGAUAGUCACUGCACUCCAACCUGGGCAACACAGUGAGACCCCGUCUCUU
This is an unclassified non-coding RNA of Macaca fascicularis (crab-eating macaque), 298 nucleotides long. It matches the Rfam family "Metazoan signal recognition particle RNA". From Rfam's summary of the family: The signal recognition particle (SRP) is a universally conserved ribonucleoprotein. It is involved in the co-translational targeting of proteins to membranes. Lineage: Eukaryota; Metazoa; Chordata; Mammalia; Primates; Cercopithecidae. The record is from Ensembl.